GACGAACGCUGGCGGCGUGCUUAACACAUGCAAGUCGAACGGAAAGGCCCUGCUUUUGUGGGGUGCUCGAGUGGCGAACGGGUGAGUAACACGUGAGUAACCUGCCCUUGACUUUGGGAUAACUUCAGGAAACUGGGGCUAAUACCGGAUAGGAGCUCCUGCUGCAUGGUGGGGGUUGGAAAGUUUCGGCGGUUGGGGAUGGACUCGCGGCUUAUCAGCUUGUUGGUGGGGUAGUGGCUUACCAAGGCUUUGACGGGUAGCCGGCCUGAGAGGGUGACCGGCGACAUGGGGACUGAGAUAGGGCCCAGACUCCUACGGGGGGCAGCAGUGGUGAAUAUGGCACAAUGGGCGGGAGCCGGAUGCAGCAACGCCGGGUGCGGGAUGACGGCCUUCGGGUUGGAAACCGCUUUAGCCUGUGACGAAGCUUGUGUGACGGUAAUGGGUAAAGAAGCACCGGCUAACUACGUG
This 468-nucleotide ribosomal RNA is filed under the name uncultured bacterium. RNAcentral describes it as "partial 16S ribosomal RNA". It matches the Rfam family "Bacterial small subunit ribosomal RNA", at positions 28 to 507 of the family's 1533-position model. The record is from RNAcentral.